This 496-nucleotide ribosomal RNA is filed under the name uncultured bacterium. RNAcentral's name for it is "partial 16S ribosomal RNA". It matches the Rfam family "Bacterial small subunit ribosomal RNA", at positions 28 to 506 of the family's 1533-position model. The record is from RNAcentral.
GAUGAACGCUGGCGGCGUGCCUAAUACAUGCAAGUCGAGCGAACAGACGAGGAGCUUGCUCCUCUGACGUUAGCGGCGGACGGGUGAGUAACACGUGGAUAACCUACCUAUAAGACUGGGAUAACUUCGGGAAACCGGAGCUAAUACCGGAUAAUAUAUUGAACCGCAUGGUUCAAUAGUGAAAGACGGUUUUGCUGUCACUUAUAGAUGGAUCCGCGCCGCAUUAGCUAGUUGGUAAGGUAACGGCUUACCAAGGCAACGAUGCGUAGCCGACCUGAGAGGGUGAGCGGCCACACUGGAACUGAGACACGGCCCAGACUCCUACGGGAGGCAGCAGUAGGGAAUCUUCCGAAAUGGGCGAAAGCCUGACGGAGCAACGCCGGGUGAGUGAUGAAGGUCUUCGGAUUGUAAAACUCUGUUAUUAGGGAAGAAAAAAUGUGUAAGUAACUAUGCACGUUUGGACGGUACCUAAUCAGAAAGCCACGGCUAACUACGU